RNAcentral lists this ribosomal RNA (497 nucleotides) under uncultured bacterium. Its description in RNAcentral is "partial 16S ribosomal RNA". It matches the Rfam family "Bacterial small subunit ribosomal RNA", at positions 28 to 507 of the family's 1533-position model. The record is from RNAcentral.
GAUGAACGCUGGCGGCGUGCCUAAUACAUGCAAGUCGAGCGAACAGACGAGGAGCUUGCUCCUCUGACGUUAGCGGCGGACGGGUGAGUAACACGUGGAUAACCUACCUAUAAGACUGGGAUAACUUCGGGAAACCGGAGCUAAUACCGGAUAAUAUAUUGAACCGCAUGGUUCAAUAGUGAAAGACGGUUUUGCUGUCACUUAUAGAUGGAUCCGCGCCGCAUUAGCUAGUUGGUAAGGUAACGGCUUACCAAGGCAACGAUGCGUAGCCGACCUGAGAGGGUGAUCGGCCACACUGGAACUGAGACACGGUCCAGACUCCUACGGGAGGCAGCAGUAGGGAAUCUUCCGCAAUGGGCGAAAGCCUGACGGAGCAACGCCGCGUGAGUGAUGAAGGUCUUCGGAUCGUAAAACUCUGUUAUUAGGGAAGAACAAAUGUGUAAGUAACUAUGCACGUCUUGACGGUACCUAAUUAGAAAGCCACGGCUAACUACGUG